Molecule: ribosomal RNA, 271 nt
Filed under: uncultured bacterium
Lineage: Bacteria
Description: partial 16S ribosomal RNA
Rfam family: Bacterial small subunit ribosomal RNA
Source: RNAcentral
UACGAAGGGGGCUAGCGUUGCUCGGAAUCACUGGGCGUAAAGGGUGCGUAGGCGGGUUUCUAAGUCAGAGGUGAAAGCCUGGAGCUCAACUCCAGAACUGCCUUUGAUACUGGAAGCCUUGAGUUCGGGAGAGGUGAGUGGAACUGCGAGUGUAGAGGUGAAAUUCGUAGAUAUUCGCAAGAACACCAGUGGCGAAGGCGGCUCACUGGCCCGAUACUGACGCUGAGGCACGAAAGCGUGGGGAGCAAACAGGAUUAGAAACCCGUGUAGU